Molecule: ribosomal RNA, 253 nt
Filed under: uncultured bacterium
Lineage: Bacteria
Description: partial 16S ribosomal RNA
Rfam family: Bacterial small subunit ribosomal RNA
Source: RNAcentral
UACAGAGGUCUCAAGCGUUGUUCGGAUUCAUUGGGCGUAAAGGGUGCGUAGGUGGCGCCGUAAGUCGGGUGUGAAAUUUCGGAGCUUAACUCCGAAACUGCAUUCGAUACUGCGGUGCUUGAGGACUGGAGAGGAGACUGGAAUUCCUGGUGUAGCGGUGAAAUGCGCAGAUAUCAGGAGGAACACCGGUGGCGAAGGCGGGUCUCUGGGCCGUAACUGACGCUGAGGAGCGAAAGCGUGGGGAGCGAACAGG